AACGAACGCUGGCGGCAGGCUUAACACAUGCAAGUCGAGCGCCCCGCAAGGGGAGCGGCAGACGGGUGAGUAACGCGUGGGAAUCUACCCUGAUCUGCGGGAUAGCUCCGGGAAACUGGAAUUAAUACCGCAUGUGCCCUGAGGGGCAAAGAUUUAUCGGUUCAGGAUGAGCCCGCGUCCGAUUAGUUAGUUGGUGGGGUAAUGGCCUACCAAGGCGACGAUCGGUAGCUGGUCUAAGAGGAUGAUCAGCCACAUUGGGACUGAGACACGGCCCAAACGCCUACGGGAGGCAGCAGUGGGGAAUAUUGGACAAUGGGCGCAAGCCUGAUCGAGCCAUGCCGCGUGAGUGAUAAAGGCCCUAGGGUUGUAAAGCUCUUUCAGUGGGGACGAUAAUGACGGUACCCACAGAAGAAGCCCCGGCUAACUUCGUGCCAGCCGCCGCCGUAA
This 447-nucleotide ribosomal RNA is filed under the name uncultured bacterium. RNAcentral describes it as "partial 16S ribosomal RNA". It matches the Rfam family "Bacterial small subunit ribosomal RNA", at positions 29 to 523 of the family's 1533-position model. The record is from RNAcentral.